CCAAUGCCCUUCGGGCUCCUUGGUGAUUCAUGAUAACUUAACGAAUCGCAUGGCCUUGCGCCGGCGAUGGUUCAUUCAAAUUUCUGCCCUAUCAACUUUCGAUGGUAGGAUAGUGGCCUACCAUGGUAUCAACGGGUAACGGGGAAUUAGGGUUCUAUUCCGGAGAGGGAGCCUGAGAAACGGCUACCACAUCCAAGGAAGGCAGCAGGCGCGCAAAUUACCCAAUCCCGACACGGGGAGGUAGUGACAAUAAAUACUGAUACAGGGCUCUUUUGGGUCUUGUAAUUGGAAUGAGUACAAUUUAAAUACCUUAACGAGGAACAAUUGGAGGGCAAGUCUGGUGCCAGCAGCCGCGGUAAUUCCAGCUCCAAUAGCGUAUAUUAAAGUUGUUGCAGUUAAAAAGCUCGUAGUUGAACCUUGGGCCUGGCUGGCCGGUCCGCCUCACCGCGUGUACUGGUCCGGCCGGGCCUUUCCUUCUGGGGAUCCUCAUGCCCUUCACUGGGUGUGCUGGGGAACCAGGACUUUUACUUUGAAAAAAUUAGAGUGUUCAAAGCAGGCCUUUGCUCGAAUACAUUAGCAUGGAAUAAUAGAAUAGGACGUGCGGUCCUAUUUUGUUGGUUUCUAGGACCGCCGUAAUGAUUAAUAGGGAUAGUCGGGGGCAUCAGUAUUCAAUUGUCAGAGGUGAAAUUCUUGGAUUUAUUGAAGACUAACUACUGCGAAAGCAUUUGCCAAGGAUGUUUUCAUUAAUCAGUGAACGAAAGUUAGGGGAUCGAAGACGAUCAGAUACCGUCGUAGUCUUAACCGUAAACUAUGCCGACUAGGGAUCGGGCGAUGUUAUUCUUUUGACUCGCUCGGCACCUUACGAGAAAUCAAA
RNAcentral lists this ribosomal RNA (874 nucleotides) under Neofusicoccum parvum. RNAcentral's name for it is "SSU rRNA". It matches the Rfam family "Eukaryotic small subunit ribosomal RNA", at positions 222 to 1102 of the family's 1831-position model. The record is from RNAcentral. Lineage: Eukaryota; Fungi; Ascomycota; Dothideomycetes; Botryosphaeriales; Botryosphaeriaceae.